RNAcentral lists this ribosomal RNA (636 nucleotides) under uncultured Bacteroidota bacterium. Its description in RNAcentral is "bacterial SSU rRNA". It matches the Rfam family "Bacterial small subunit ribosomal RNA", at positions 58 to 685 of the family's 1533-position model. The record is from RNAcentral. Lineage: Bacteria; Pseudomonadati; Bacteroidota.
CAAGUCGAGCNGUACAGGAAAUUCGCUUGGCUAAUUUGAUGACGAUCGCCGGUACGCGUAGUUAAUGCGCGGGAAUAUUCCUACGUGUGGGGAAUCACUAGUUUAAACGAUAGCUAUUACCGCAUAUCUAUUCGGAGCAAAGAGGGGGAUCGUAGGACGUCUCGCGUCUGGAUCUCCCAGGUGAGAUUAGCUAGUUGGCGGGGUAAUGGAUCACCUAGGAGACGAUCCUUUGCUCAUCUGAGAGGAUGAUCAGGCUCAGAGGAAUGAGACACGGUCCAGACUCGGACGAGAGGCCGCAGGGGGGAAUAAUGCUCAAUGGGGGAAAUCGUGAUGCAGCCAUACCCAGCCUAAGAAGAAGGCCUUCGAGUUGUAAAGUACUUUCAGUUAUGAGGAAGGAAAUGAAGUUAAUAGUUUAAAUAUUUGUCGUUAGCUACUGAAGAAGCACAAGAUAAAUCCGCCCCAGCCGCCCAGGUAAUACGGAGGGUACGAGCGUUCAUCGGAAUUUCUGGGGGUAAAGCGCUAGCAGGCGGUCUGUUUAGUCAGUGAUGAAAACCCGGGGUUCAACAUCGGUCCACCUUUCAACAAGGCAGAUUAGAAUCGUGUAGAGGGGGGUAGAGUUUCAGGUGUAGCGGGAAA